CGGUGCUGAUGGAUAGUUUCAUUCCCAUUACUUGUUGAAAACUAAACCAAAACUGAAAAGUGAACCUGAAGUCUCUGUCGGAUAUCACUGUCACCAGAAUUCCAUGUAACCUGACUAUCUCUCAUAUAUAAAUUCUUCCUAACUUGUCUAACGGGUCGGUCAUUUUAACAACCAAGAAGUGAGAGAACUUGGUGAUCCGGUCGAUAAUUACUCAAAUAGCAUCAUGUCCUGAACGUGUCU
This 240-nucleotide long non-coding RNA is filed under the name Carica papaya (papaya). RNAcentral describes it as "long non-coding RNA (CPAP_LNC012910)". The record is from RNAcentral. Lineage: Eukaryota; Viridiplantae; Streptophyta; Magnoliopsida; Brassicales; Caricaceae.